RNAcentral lists this unclassified non-coding RNA (376 nucleotides) under uncultured bacterium. RNAcentral's name for it is "contains 16S-23S intergenic spacer region". The record is from RNAcentral.
UCCGGUUUGUCACCGGCAGUCUCCCUAGAGUCCCCGGCAUUAUCCGCUGGCAACUAAGGACGGGGGUUGCGCUCGUUGCGGGACUUAACCCAACAUCUCACGACACGAGCUGACGACAGCCAUGCACCACCUGUGAUCCUGCCCCGAAGGGAAGCCGUGUUUCCACGGCGGUCAGGAACAUGUCAAGCCCAGGUAAGGUUCUUCGCGUUGCGUCGAAUUAAUCCACAUCAUCCACCGCUUGUGCGGGUCCCCGUCAAUUCCUUUGAGUUUUAAUCUUGCGACCGUACUCCCCAGGCGGGAUGCUUAAUGCGUUAGCUGCGCCACUGAGCAGCAAGCUGCCCAACGGCUAGCAUCCAUCGUUUACGGCGUGGACUAC